UACUUCGCCCUUUUUUAUUUUCGUAUUGUUUUUAGUGAAAACAGUCUUUUAAAAUGAACAUCGAAAUGUAUUUAGAAAAGACCAAAAAAACCUGUGUUUUGACUUUUCUAAAAUGAGCUGCUCUUUCUAAACAUUUCAACAUGUUCAUUUUUAUGUUUUCCAUUGUUCUAUCCCUCCCCAGCCCCAUUUUUUGUGGCUGAAACUAUGUGCCAAAUUGAACCCCAAAUUGCAAAUAAUGUCGGUCUUCCCCAAACAUCCUUUAUACAUUCUUUUCUCCAAAAAAAUGCUAUAAAUUCCCUGUAAGAGCAAUGAUGCAUUAUAGAUGCAGAGAGAAUAAGAUACUGGGGACAUCUAUUUAUGCAUAAUGGCAAACUCCUAUUGUUAUGGAUGGAGGCAGGAUCUGGCCCUGAAUAAUUCAGCUGUGUCCAUUAGCACAGCAUCUGGCACUGAACCAAGCACUGAUGCACCAAAGUGUUUACCUGCCAAGGUUGCUAUAUGGUGCCUGUCACUAACAUGUGAGAGCAACUGUUCACAACUGCUAGUGAAAACGGCUCUCAACCCCAAGUGGAGAUGCACUGGAGGGAAUCAUGGAGGCUCCUGCUGUUACACUUCCACCAUCAAGCCUGGUAUGACUUCUCUGCAUUAAUCCUCCUCCUGGAGGCAGGAGAGAGAAGGAUUUAAGCAGUGCCGUGGAUGUGGCAGGUUAAAGUCACCCGAUGCAGAGGGCCUAGCCCAAGGUGUAUAUGUGUGCCCUGUUUAAAUCCUAUCUUGGGCGUGUACGUAGGAUUUCGACAACACAAAGCACUUAGUCACAGAGGUGGAAUUCAUCCUGGUGUGCUCUCCCACCCUGAUUGAGUGUGAAACUGCAGCCCUGGAUAAAAAUACAUAAGACAUUGAGAGCUCAGGGCUAGGCAUUCACUAGGAACAUCAGUACCAAGGCUCCCUUUGACUUCGACAAAAUUACAAAUAUUUAACUUUGCAAAGUUAAAUGCCAACCAACCUGGGCAAUGCCUCCCAUCUGCUAAUGCACUCGCAGUAAGCUGCAGCCUGACCUCUUGUUUUCUGCUCCAGGUUGGUUUCUGAGGGAACUUUCUGCUGGUAAUAGAAUAUUAUCACUGUGUGCGUCAGCAUCCCUGUUGCAUUGGGAUUAGGGUCACAGGUGCUAACAACACUGAGCAGCCACAGCAUAUGGGAGUAGAAGUGUAAAACUCAGAGGAAUUCAGUGAGUGGAUUUUAAUUCAGACAGAUCCAGCUAAUUAAAUCAUCACUUGAAGAAGAUCACAUGUGAAACACAGAAUGUGUGUGUUUUUAUACACACUUGCCAAUGCCUCUAAAUUAAGCUAACAGUCCUGCCUCCUCUCUGAACCACAGCAUUCCCAUAAACGUGCUCUGAAGAUUAUAGCCAUUUUUCUCCUCUAAUUAAACCACCUAGAUAAACUUAUUUUAAAUUAACCAGUUAAAUGUGGGGCCUACAUUGGCAAGAGUGAUUACUCAUUUUGGGAGCCCACAUUGAACUAUCUUACAGGCAUCUGAUUUUCAGAGUCCUGUCACUUCAGAUGCCCAAAAAACUGAAGGAUCACAAAUCACUGGUAAGAUCAAAAAAAAAACAACUUUAGGCAAAAGAUUGGCCUUAACUCUACAUUGACUGGGAGCUGACACAUCAGGACAGCUUGGUGCUGUUGCUUAAAUGCUUAUUUUGUAUUUAGUGUUAAGGGUCUUUUUUCUUUUUAAUAGGGUGUAUGGAAUAUCCAGAAGGAGCUAUAAUCUGUCAGCAUCGUUCUAGCUCCUUGGAUAAAAGAUGCAUUUACAUUUAACGAUUCCCAGAUUCGACAUGGCCCUACAACUGCUUUGUGCUAUACCACCACUGCAAAGUGUUCCUGAACCUGACUUAGACUCAUCCCAGAGCAGGGGGAUGCUUUGGUGGCAGAGCAACAGUUCCCUGAGGCCUCAAUAAGCAUCCGAUCUUCAUUGUGUUAGGUGCUUACCUACGCACACAGGAAGCCAAGAUUUCUGUCCUUGCUUGCACAUCUGAAUAGCUAACAGUCCAAGACUCGGCUUCUGCAAACACUGGAGCACCCAGGAGUUACUUACAGGAGUUCUCUCUGCGGGUUUACUGGGGCUCCUCCUCUGGAUCCAGUUUGUGUAUGCUUGUAGAAUUUGUUCCUACAGCUUUAAUGUCCCUAACAAAGUACAUUACCGUCUAAGCAGGUUAGAACCAGAUUCCCCUUUCUACUUUUACCGAUCACGGUUUUUGUAGUGCCCCAGCUGGGCAGAUGAGCCAUAUAACCUGGUAGCCUCUUAUUUUGAUAUAAAGGAUUUUUCACAAUGCAGACUUAAGUUUCGAUUCCUCAGAGAAGCACUCAUUCCAUGGACAAGAACAAUGCUGAGGACUGCUUGGUUUUGGGGGAGUGGUUAGCCUUUCAUGAAGGCUCAUGAAAAUCCCACCCUUUCUUGCCUCCAACAUCAUUGGUUGUUGGCAGAAGUGUAGGUAUUUAGGGCCGGAUCUAAAUCUCACUGAAGUCAAUACAAGUCCUUCCACUGACAACCCUGUUGAUCUUUCUUUCAAGAAAGAAAUUUGAUGGGAGAAAUUCUUUGGCACCAACUCAAAAGUUCUGGGUGGCAUUCUGGAGACCCGCUUGGGACAUCCAAGACUAAAGUAGGAUGCUCUACUGCUUGUGGUGUCUGGCAGGGAAAAUCUCCAUGAGCAAAUCGCUCUAAAGUUACAACCAACAGCACUGGCCUUUAGGAGAAAUUGCAUGCACCUUCUCCAAGUAUUUAGUUUUGAUCACUGUGUCACAGUAUCUAUGGCAACUUCUCACUGGCAUUAGCUCAAAUGUUUUACACAACUGAAGAAGAAUGAAAAACAGGAUAUUUAAUGUGAAUGAGCAGAACAAUUACCAGGGUACAUACAUACACACACACACACACACACACUCCUAUUAAGUCAGACAGAAGAAAUUCCAUUUCUGCUAAGGCAAGUCCAUACAUAUUAUAAAACACUUGUUUUAAAAAAUAAAAUAAGAUGUGCGCCUGUCCCAUUGCCUCAGGAAGAAGUGUCAGGCAACAUCACCCUCACAUGCAGACACAGUGAGAAGUGUCACAGGGAACCAAAGGAUGGUGCGAGGACCAGGAACAUAAGGACAGUCAAGGAGCAAACCUGCAAACGAUUGGUAUACAGAAAAAUUCAAGCAUUUCCCCAAGAACACAACUGAUUGGAGAUUAGCUAAUGCAGCCUAUUAGAUGCAGAUCAGGUACAUCACUUUUUGUUUUAAUGCUUUGGCUUGAAACAGGUCUUUUCAUGCUUCUCGCACUUAAUGCUAGGAGCACUAUGUUUGAGAAACGUUCAUUUCUCCAUCACAAUGAGGAAUCUCCUUGCAAGUGUUUUAAUGGGUGUGUUCCUGUCAACAGAAACGUGACUAUUGGGGCACACAAGCUGAGUGAAGGAUUCACUGUUAAUAUUGCAUUAAUUGACAACGUACAAUGAAGUCUCACACCUGUUUAUUAUAAGUAAUUCAUAGAUAACCACUUCUAGUACACAUUUCCAUAUUGGUUUUAAGCUCAGUGACACCCAAACUUCACCUAAUUGCGGGUCUUGUUAGCAGUUUGCCAGGAGCCAGAAGGCUGUACCUACUUUGUGAAAAUGAUGAAAGUUGAAAUCACUUUCAUCCAUAAUAGAGAUGUAAGGCUUGAAGACUAUAUAUCCCAGCAUGCAACACCCCAUCAUGCUUGGGCCACUACACUAAAGGGGAGAGAGUGAUGGAUUUUGCUGGGCUGCAUUUGAUUCACAUGCCUCAUUUUGGCCACAUCAAUCUAGCUCAUGCAGCUGUCUGCACGCAAUGCUCUACAGUGAGAAAAACAAAGGUUUUUGUACUGUUGGAAUAAAAGCAGUGGUAACAAAGUCAUAGCUACAUAUUCUUCUCUACAUUUUUGUUUAUUGAGACAAACUAAUUAAAAGGCACAAACAUAGGGCAUAUGUUUACAUGGACAUUAUAACAAACAUAUACAUUAAAAGUGUAGGAAUGUGUUUCCUUUCUGCUAAACAGAAAGUUCCUAAGCUUUUAUAUAUACAAAAGUUGUACAAUUUGAUGUCCUAAAGUACAAAAGAUCAUUUAUAAAAUUAUUUUACACUAAAGUUCUAUUUUUUGUUUUUUGUUUUACUAUGUAGUCCAAGCCCCUAGAACUGUUUCACAUAAUGAUACAGAUACCUGUCACCUGACCUAGAAGUCUGGUAUUUGCUGCUUGUACUGACACGGUGGGGUAGAAAUGGAAGCAGUCCAUUUUGACUAGUCAGUCCUGCUAGCAUUCUGUAAAAUGCACGCACACUAAUCUCCAUUGCUUUCAACUUCAUUGAGAGAAAAACACUGCAACUUUAGUUGCGUUUUUUCCUCCCCCCCCUCCCCCCAAUGUAAAGUCUUGGUUUCAGGGGGUUCUUUUUAAACAAAGUUUUAAAAAUGUGAAUAUGUGACAUGAUAGUCUAAAAAGUAUAUCUGUUUCCCUAGACUCUGCUUUCUACUUUAUGUACAGAUAAACAGGUUAAGAAAUAAAAAGCACAUGUAGUUUAAACAUGUGUGAUCAUUUGUGGUGCAGUUCUGGGCUGGACAGCUCAGACUGCCACCCCCAAAACCCACACAAAUUGAUAGAAAUGUGUUAACACAAUAGAAUAGUAACAUAAAAAUGAUGAUGUUUGCAAAUAUUUACAAAGUUGAACAGAUUUGCACAACACUUGAUUAAGAAAUAGGGGGGAAAUUAAAAGACGCUCUCGGCUUGUCCUGAAGGGGCAUCCUACCUAGUUAGUGGUUAGAAUAAAAACUGUAUACAAUUUAA
Gavialis gangeticus (Gharial) is the source of this 4824-nucleotide long non-coding RNA. RefSeq lists it as uncharacterized. The transcript has 3 exons. Lineage: Eukaryota; Metazoa; Chordata; Crocodylia; Gavialidae. The record is from RefSeq and is a predicted model, not a curated record.